CUAUUAAACAAGCAAACAUAUUCUUUUCUAAACGCACCCCAUCAAACGUACACACAAUAAUUUCAGACUAUUAGAGCCACACGAUUAGGGAUACUCAUUUAGAUCUAGCCGUCAGAAUAACAACUAACCCUCAACCAAAAGUACAUCUAUCAAUUUUAGUGGGCGGACGAAAACUCUGCCGGCCAUCGUACGCACGAGCGAAUGAAAAGUUCUCGACACCCACCUAAUCUCACCCCUAAAUUAGCGCUAACCUCCCAAUCUCACCCCAAAUUUAGCGCUAACCUCUCUGGUCGCACAAAUCUCCUCCAAGCAGAGUGGACGCGCCGUGGGCGGCCACUGGCGAUGAGGUCGCGCGCGAUCCCCGCUCCACCUCGCCUCUCCGGCUGCACAGGUCUCCUCCCCAGGCACGACGUGGGUGCACGCAGACGCAGGGCGGUCGCCGGCGAACGAGGCCGCACGCGAGACCGCGGCGAGGCGGCGCGGAGCCCUCUGCUCCCUCCAGUUUGUGAUCUGCUCAUCUGCAUCGGUCACCUCCAUCGCCACCGCGAGUCACCUCCUCCGCCGCCGCCAGGAAUCCCAUCGACGGCAAGGUCAUCACGCCCUGCUUGCUGCGUGUGUGUGGUGUGCUGUGUGGGUGCUUAAUGCUGAGUGCUUUCCAGCUUGUCGCUGAUGGCCCGCUGCUGUUGCUUUGUUGUAUAGUAGUAUGAUUUUUGAGUCAGACUAUGAUCCAUGCACUUAAGGGAAGGGAUUAUGAUGCUGCUGAACUGGGAGUCCUUUAUCUUGAAGCCAGAAGUUUGGUAUUGGCUGAUGUUCCCCUUAGCGUUUGGGCAUUUCAAGCCCCUUACUUAAGCGAUUUACAUGUGCACAAGUUUAAGUGGAAUACAUUUUUCUGUUCAAGAAAAACUUGCUGGAUUAAUUUGUUUUAUCUGGCGAUGAAGUGAUGGUGCACGAGGACGGACUUCCUAGAUAAGAAAAUGUCUGUGCUCUUCUCGAUGGUGCAAAGUUGAGGAUGGUGCUGAAAUUUUGGGAGAGAUGGAGAACAUGGAGCCUUGGGUAGCUGAAGUACAUCCUUCCUUAAGCGUAAGAUGCGUUCUGGUUCAUAGGUAAAUCAUGAAGCAAAACUUUGUUGCUUUUUCAAUUUUUCUCUAUGAAGCAAGAUGGUCUGCAUUUUAACAGUACACGAAUAUAAAAUAGGGAUGGUUAAAACAAUGGCUCAAGUUUUGAUUUGCUAGUUAAAACAAUGUUAAAAAAUAGGAUUGUUUUGUGCUCUCUUCGGAUAUUAAUCCAAUUAGGCUUAGCGGUAUAUGAAUGCACAAGCUCUUUAGGAAAGCCAAAAGAGAAAAUGGAAAACUAUUACAUGUCUAUUUGUCCAAACAACGUAAAUCGAGACUUCUAUCUUGCCAAAACCUCUUAUUAUUGCGUUCAUUUUCUUCCUAUUGUUUACAUGUCACCUCUUUGUUGGUUGUUGUUUGGUGCCAAGGCCAUUAGAAAAGAGUAAUGCCUCAAACAAGGUAGUUCUGAAGAUAGAACUCAGGGUAGCUACCAUCGAUGAUGCUUUCCAGCAAGCUCCUGGGUGACUACUCGAUGCCGACCAUUGUUGGUUUCCUUCAUGGCUAUUGUAAAAUGAUGAUUCAUAUAUCACAUGCUCUUUAUUGGUA
Triticum dicoccoides is the source of this 1658-nucleotide long non-coding RNA. RefSeq lists it as uncharacterized. The transcript is spliced from 2 exons. NCBI's taxonomy places the organism in Eukaryota, Viridiplantae, Streptophyta, Magnoliopsida, Poales, Poaceae. The record is from RefSeq and is a predicted model, not a curated record.